UGGGGGGGGGGUGCCCUAAUACAUGCAAGUCGAACGAACUCUGGUAUUGAUUGGUGCUUGCAUCAUGAUUUACAUUUGAGUGAGUGGCGAACUGGUGAGUAACACGUGGGAAACCUGCCCAGAAACGGGGGAUAACACCUGGAAACAGAUGCUAAUACCGCAUAACAACUUGGACCGCAUGGUCCGAGCUUGAAAGAUGGCUUCGGCUAUCACUUUUGGAUGGUCCCGCGGCGUAUUAGCUAGAUGGUGGGGUAACGGCUCACCAUGGCAAUGAUACGUAGCCGACCUGAGAGGGUAAUCGGCCACAUUGGGACUGAGACACGGCCCAAACUCCUACGGGAGGCAGCAGUAGGGAAUCUUCCACAAUGGACGAAAGUCUGAUGGAGCAACGCCGCGUGAGUGAAGAAGGGUUUCGGCUCGUAAAACUCUGUUGUUAAAGAAGAACAUAUCUGAGAGUAACUGUUCAGGUAUUGACGGUAUUUAACCAGAAAGCCACGGCUAACUACGUGCCAGCAGCCGCGGUAAUACGUAGGUGGCAAGCGUUGUCCGGAUUUAUUGGGCGUAAAGCGAGCGCAGGCGGUUUUUUAAGUCUGAUGUGAAAGCCUUCGGCUCAACCGAAGAAGUGCAUCGGAAACUGGGAAACUUGAGUGCAGAAGAGGACAGUGGAACUCCAUGUGUAGCGGUGAAAUGCGUAGAUAUAUGGAAGAACACCAGUGGCGAAGGCGGCUGUCUGGUCUGUAACUGACGCUGAGGCUCGAAAGUAUGGGUAGCAAACAGGAUUAGAUACCCUGGUAGUCCAUACCGUAAACGAUGAAUGCUAAGUGUUGGAGGGUUUCCGCCCUUCAGUGCUGCAGCUAACGCAUUAAGCAUUCCGCCUGGGGAGUACGGCCGCAAGGCUGAAACUCAAAGGAAUUGACGGGGGCCCGCACAAGCGGUGGAGCAUGUGGUUUAAUUCGAAGCUACGCGAAGAACCUUACCAGGUCUUGACAUACUAUGCAAAUCUAAGAGAUUAGACGUUCCCUUCGGGGACAUGGAUACAGGUGGUGCAUGGUUGUCGUCAGCUCGUGUCGUGAGAUGUUGGGUUAAGUCCCGCAACGAGCGCAACCCUUAUUAUCAGUUGCCAGCAUUAAGUUGGGCACUCUGGUGAGACUGCCGGUGACAAACCGGAGGAAGGUGGGGAUGACGUCAAAUCAUCAUGCCCCUUAUGACCUGGGCUACACACGUGCUACAAUGGAUGGUACAACGAGUUGCGAACUCGCGAGAGUAAGCUAAUCUCUUAAAGCCAUUCUCAGUUCGGAUUGUAGGCUGCAACUCGCCUACAUGAAGUCGGAAUCGCUAGUAAUCGCGGAUCAGCAUGCCGCGGUGAACACGUUCCCGGGCCUUGUACACACCGCCCGUCACAGCCAUGAGAGUUUGUAACACCCAAAGUCCGUGUGGGGUAACCUUUUAGGAACCAGCCGCCUUAAGGGGGGACCAGAA
Molecule: ribosomal RNA, 1479 nt
Filed under: Lactiplantibacillus plantarum
Lineage: Bacteria; Bacillati; Bacillota; Bacilli; Lactobacillales; Lactobacillaceae
Description: bacterial SSU rRNA
Rfam family: Bacterial small subunit ribosomal RNA
Source: RNAcentral